This 393-nucleotide long non-coding RNA is filed under the name Elaeis guineensis (African oil palm). RNAcentral's name for it is "long non-coding RNA (EGUI_LNC028048)". The record is from RNAcentral. Lineage: Eukaryota; Viridiplantae; Streptophyta; Magnoliopsida; Arecales; Arecaceae.
GCACUAGUAUCUGUAGAAAAUCCAACAAAUUCCCACCCACCCAAUAACAUCAAAUUUCAAAUUUUCUGACCAGCAACAUUUAAAAAAUUUUGAAAUUUGAAUUUCAAAAAAAAGAAACUCUAACAAGUCACUGUCAGAAUGGAUUAACAUCAACCGUCGAAGGAGAACAUCGGCAACCACCAUGCCUUAAGGGAAGGGGAGUGUCGAAGGGAAACGUCAUCAACCAUUACGCCAAAGAGAAGAGCAUCAUCGAUCAAACCUUGCCAGUGACUGAUGAAGCCUGAUAAUAACCCAUACAAAGGACAAAGGAAUGUAGAGAAAGCUGGCUUGGCCUGGCUCGGCCAUCCAUCAUCCAGCAUCGAAAGAGACCAGCAAAGAGGAAGUAAGAAAGAG